UUGCUUGCAAUCCGCUGACGACCGGCGCACGGGUGCGUAACGCGUAUGCAACCUACCUUUUACAGGGGUAUAGUCAAGAGAAAUUUUGAAUAACACCCCAUACGAUCAUUUUUACACCUGUAAAGAUGAAGAAAACUCCGGUGGUAAAAGAUGGGCAUGCGUCCUAUUAGUUAGUUGGUGAGGUAACGGCUCACCAAGACCGCGAUAGGUAGGGGUCCUGAGAGGGAGAUCCCCCACACUGGUACUGAGACACGGACCAGACUCCUACGGGAGGCAGCAGUGAGGAAUAUUGGACAAUGGAGGCAACUCUGAUCCAGCCAUGCCGCGUGCAGGAAGACUGCCCUAUGGGUUGUAAACUGCUUUUAUACAGGAAGAAACCUUGGUACGUGUACCAAGCUGACGGUACUGUAAGAAUAAGGAUCGGCUAACUCCGUGCCAGCAGCCGCGGUAAUACGGUUGAUCCAAGCGUUAUCCGGAAUCAUUGGGUUUAAAGGGUCCGCAGGCGGUCUUUUAAGUCAGAGGUGAAAUCCUAUCGCUCAACGAUAGAACUGCCUUUGAUACUGAAAGACUUGAGUUAUUGUGAAGUGGU
RNAcentral lists this ribosomal RNA (589 nucleotides) under uncultured Bacteroidota bacterium. RNAcentral's name for it is "bacterial SSU rRNA". It matches the Rfam family "Bacterial small subunit ribosomal RNA", at positions 76 to 661 of the family's 1533-position model. The record is from RNAcentral. Lineage: Bacteria; Pseudomonadati; Bacteroidota.